UACGAAGGGGGCUAGCGUUGCUCGGAAUCACUGGGCGUAAAGGGUGCGUAGGCGGGUCUUUUAAGUCAGGGGUGAAAUCCUGGAGCUCAACUCCAGAACUGCCUUUGAUACUGAAGAUCUUGAGUUCGGGAGAGGUGAGUGGAACUGCGAGUGUAGAGGUGAAAUUCGUAGAUAUUCGCAAGAACACCAGUGGCGAAGGCGGCUCACUGGCC
This 212-nucleotide ribosomal RNA is filed under the name uncultured bacterium. RNAcentral's name for it is "partial 16S ribosomal RNA". It matches the Rfam family "Bacterial small subunit ribosomal RNA", at positions 524 to 734 of the family's 1533-position model. The record is from RNAcentral.